AUGUUCUCCUUCUCUCCUCUGAUUGUCGUUUUGUACAGUUCUCCUUCUCCCCUCUGUCGUUUUGUACAGUUCUCCUUCUCCCCUCCGGUUGUCGUUUUGUACAGUUCUCCUUCUCCCCUCCGGUUGUCGUUUUGUACAGUUCUCCUUCUCCCCUCCGGUUGUCGUUUUGUACAGUUCUCCUUCUCCCCUCCGAUUGUCGUUUUGUACAGUUAUAAUAUAUUUCUUAUGAAAAUGACAGGUCCAAACCAAAUGAAUCACAACCUUCAACAUGUUUUAAAGUUUUGUUGUAUAAAAUGGGUUUCGUGCUCCAUGUUUUGCCAUGUUUCUAAACCAUAUGUUGUGUGUGUGUCUACUCUGUCUGCAGGUUUCCCUCAUCCAGUAGUGGGUGGACCAGGGAGCACCAAAGAUGACUCUGGAUCUAAGGACAAGGCUGGAGGGAGUGGUGGCCCCUCAGACACUCCAGACAUCCAGCUGGGAGCUCCAGGCCCAGGCGGACCAGGGGCCUUGAUGAGUCCUCCAGGCCCAGCAGUGUUACUGGGUCCCAGGCCGGCCAUGCUGCCCAUGCAGCCUCGUCCGGGACUACCACCCCCUCACCUCCAGCCCCACUUCCCCCCUCACCUCCCUCCCCCCAACAUGCCCCCUAUGAUGAUGGGCUCCAGGGGCCCCAACCCCAUGUUCCCCCCUAGGGGGGGCCCUCCAGGUGGGUUCAGGAUGCCCAUGGGCCACCAGUCCAUGGAGGACUUUCCUCACAGACCCCCCAGACAUCCCUUCCAGCCUGGACCCCCCAGACAUCCCUUCCAGCCUGGACCCCCCAGACAUCCCUUCCAGCCCGGACCCCCCGGGGAAGAAGAAGGCAACUGGGAGGGCGGGAGACACUUCAGGGGCGAGAGGCCAGGGUUUGGGGGACGUGACAGGGACGGGGGUAGGUUUGGGGAGCGGGGGAGAGGGUUUCCUAGAGGAGGAGGAGGAGGGGGAAAUGGUCGGCCCAUAGAUGGGCCUGAGGGGAGGUUUGGGGAGCGGGGGAGAGGGUUUCCUAGAGGAGGAGGGGGGGGUCGGUCCAUAGAUGGGCCUGAGGGGAGGGACUGCUUCAUGAACCAACGGGAUAGAUUUGAAUGGUGA
Molecule: long non-coding RNA, 1119 nt
Filed under: Oncorhynchus mykiss (rainbow trout)
Lineage: Eukaryota; Metazoa; Chordata; Actinopteri; Salmoniformes; Salmonidae
Description: lncRNA (ENSOMYG00000068141.1)
Source: RNAcentral